RNAcentral lists this ribosomal RNA (119 nucleotides) under Helianthus annuus (common sunflower). Lineage: Eukaryota; Viridiplantae; Streptophyta; Magnoliopsida; Asterales; Asteraceae. The record is from RNAcentral.
GGUUGCGAUCAUACCAGCACUAAUGCACCGGAUCCCAUCAGAACUCCGCAGUUAAGCGUGCUUGGGCGAGAGUAGUAUUAGGAUGGGUGACCCCUUGGGAAGUCCUCGUGUUGCAACAC